UCCGGUGUAGCUCAACGGUAGAGCAAUCGGCUGUUAACCGAUAGGUUGUAGGUUCGAAUCCUACCGCCGGAGCCA
Molecule: transfer RNA, 75 nt
Filed under: Rhodospirillaceae bacterium
Lineage: Bacteria; Pseudomonadati; Pseudomonadota; Alphaproteobacteria; Rhodospirillales; Rhodospirillaceae
Description: tRNA-Asn
Rfam family: tRNA
About the family: Transfer RNA (tRNA) molecules are approximately 80 nucleotides in length.
Source: RNAcentral